GUGGGGAAUCUUGCGCAAUGGGCGAAAGCCUGACGCAGCCAUGCCGCGUGAAUGAUGAGGGUCUUAGGAUUGUAAAAUUCUUUCACCGGGGACGAUAAUGACGGUACCCGGAGAAGAAGCCCCGGCUAACUUCGUGCCAGCAGCCGCGGUAAUACGAAGGGGGCUAGCGUUGCUCGGAAUUACUGGGCGUAAAGGGCGCGUAGGCGGAUCGUUAAGUCAGGGGUGAAAUCCCAGAGCUCAACUCUGGAACUGCCCUUGAUACUGGCGAUCUUGAGUGUGAGAGAGGUAUGUGGAACUCCGAGUGUAGAGGUGAAAUUCGUAGAUAUUCGGAAGAACACCAGUGGCGAAGGCGACAUACUGGCUCAUUACUGACGCUGAGGCGCGAAAGCGUGGGGAGCAAACAGGAUUAGAUACCCUUGUAGUCC
Molecule: ribosomal RNA, 425 nt
Filed under: uncultured bacterium
Lineage: Bacteria
Description: partial 16S ribosomal RNA
Rfam family: Bacterial small subunit ribosomal RNA
Source: RNAcentral